Molecule: ribosomal RNA, 292 nt
Filed under: uncultured bacterium
Lineage: Bacteria
Description: partial 16S ribosomal RNA
Rfam family: Bacterial small subunit ribosomal RNA
Source: RNAcentral
UUUCCUACGGGAGGCAGCAGUGGGGAAUAUUGCACAAUGGGGGAAACCCUGAUGCAGCGACGCCGCGUGAGUGAAGAAGUAAUUCGUUAUGUAAAGCUCUAUCAGCAGGGAAGAAAAUGACGGUACCUGAGUAAGAAGCCCCGGCUAACUACGUGCCAGCAGCCGCGGUAAUACGUAGGGGGCAAGCGUUAUCCGGAUUUACUGGGUGUAAAGGGAGCGUAGACGGAAAGGCAAGUCAGACGUGAAAACCCAAGGCUCAACCAUGGGACUGCUUUUGAAACUGCGUGGCUGG